GAUGAAGAACGCAGCGAAAUGCGAUAAGUAAUGUGAAUUGCAGAAUUCAGUGAAUCAUCGAAUCUUUGAACGCACAUUGCGCCCCCCAGUAUUCUGGCGGGCAUGCCUGUUCGAGCGUCAUUUCAACCAUCAAGCCCUGCUUGUGUUGGGGUCCUGCGGCUGCCCGCAGGCCCUGAAAACCAGUGGCGGGCUCGCUAGUCACACCGAGCGCAGUAGCACAUCUCGCUCAGGGCGUGCGGCGGGCUCCAGCCGUUAAAGCACCCACAUUUCGCAAGGUUGACCUCGGAUCAGGUAGGAAUACCCGCUGAACUUAAGCAUAUCAAUAAGCGGAGGA
Molecule: unclassified non-coding RNA, 334 nt
Filed under: soil metagenome
Description: partial contains 5.8S ribosomal RNA, internal transcribed spacer 2, and large subunit ribosomal RNA
Rfam family: 5.8S ribosomal RNA (bases 1-120)
Source: RNAcentral